UACGAAGGGUGCAAGCGUUAAUCGGAAUUACUGGGCGUAAAGCGCGCGUAGGUGGUUCAGUAAGUUGGAAGUGAAAUCCCCGGGCUCAACCUGGGAACUGCUUUCAAAACUGCUGAGCUAGAGUACGGUAGAGGGUGGUGGAAUUUCCUGUGUAGCGGUGAAAUGCGUAGAUAUAGGAAGGAACACCAGUGGCGAAGGCGACCACCUGGACUGAUACUGACACUGAAGUGCGAAAGCGUUGGGAACAAACAGG
Molecule: ribosomal RNA, 253 nt
Filed under: uncultured bacterium
Lineage: Bacteria
Description: partial 16S ribosomal RNA
Rfam family: Bacterial small subunit ribosomal RNA
Source: RNAcentral